CGACGUCGCUCUCGCUACCUCGCAUGGGAGACAACUCAUCAGGAGGAUUAAAGAGGUUGAUUAGCUCGUCACUAAGAUCAUUGAAGGUUGAAGCUGAAAGGGUAACGAGGUCUCCCUUGACUUUGAGGUAGACAUAGAGGGAGAGGAGAGGAAUGGAAGGGCAGUUUGCUGGUUGGGGAAGAGAGGAGGGAGGGUGGAGGAAAGGGCCAUGGACGGCUCAGGAAGACAAGCUGCUGGUCGAGUACGUCCGGCAGCAUGGAGAAGGGAGGUGGAAUUCUGUCGCCAAGCUCACUGGUCUGAAGCGAAGCGGCAAGAGCUGCCGGCUUCGGUGGGUGAACUACCUGAGGCCGGACCUGAAGAGAGGCAAGAUCACGCCGCAGGAGGAGAGCGUCAUACUCCACCUCCACGCCAUGUGGGGAAACAGGUGGUCGACGAUCGCGCGCAGCCUGCCGGGACGGACGGACAACGAGAUCAAGAACUACUGGCGGACGCACUUCAGCAAAAGGGCAAGCCGUCCAAGAACAUCGAGCGCGCCAGGGCGCGGUUCCUCAAGCAGCGGCGCGAGAUGCAGAGCCAGCAGCUGCUGCUGCAGGGACAAGCGCAGCAGCAGGAGGAGGAGGAAGAGAAACGGCCCGAUCACGACGACGGGCCGGAGGCAGCGCCGGCCGUGUCACUGGCGCGGCAGCUCGAGGAGGACCUGCGGCGGAUGCUGCAGCAGGACAUGGACGACCUCAUGUUCCAGUUCUGCCCAAUGGCCUCCUCCUGCCUCCUCCCCCGCGGCAGCGGCUGCACCUCCGUCAGCGCGUCGGCGAGCGAGGAAGGGUCCAGCGGGGAUCAUCAUCAGCUCGACGGCAGCGCCACGUGGGACUGGGGCAGCCUGUGGAACCUCGACGACGUGGUCGAUGGCGGCGCCUGGGACAGCAGCUCCCCUUUGCUGCAGGAUCAAGGGCUCGCUUUCUACUAGCAGCUGCAUGCUACCUAGCUACCCCUACAACUAUAUAUAGCCCUGCUAUAUAUAAUUAGAUGUUCUUUUCGUGCUCGACUGCUUGAUGCUGAGGCCUACAGUAUGUGUGGAGGGGUGAGAGCGAGAGGUUAGUCUGAUCGUUUAAAUGUGCGUUGGAUAAGGAUGCAACACCAACCAAAGUAGUCCACUUCGAUCGAGUAGAAUGUCUUCGUUCAUGACUUGUUUUGCUCGUUUUUAAGCACUUUUUCAGAGAGGGCGAGAGAGUUUGUUUCUCCUUUU
This is an RNA transcript of Zea mays, 1243 nucleotides long. It is a transcript of the gene named MYB-like protein pseudogene, with no coding region annotated. The transcript is spliced from 3 exons. The record is from RefSeq and is marked validated. NCBI's taxonomy places the organism in Eukaryota, Viridiplantae, Streptophyta, Magnoliopsida, Poales, Poaceae.